This 253-nucleotide ribosomal RNA is filed under the name uncultured bacterium. RNAcentral's name for it is "partial 16S ribosomal RNA". It matches the Rfam family "Bacterial small subunit ribosomal RNA", at positions 524 to 776 of the family's 1533-position model. The record is from RNAcentral.
UACGAAGGGGGCUAGCGUUGUUCGGAUUUACUGGGCGUAAAGCGCACGUAGGCGGAUCGUUAAGUCAGGGGUGAAAUCCUGGAGCUCAACUCCAGAACUGCCUUUGAUACUGAGAAUCUUGAGUACGGGAGAGGUGAGUGGAACUGCGAGUGUAGAGGUGAAAUUCGUAGAUAUUCGCAAGAACACCAGUGGCGAAGGCGGCUCACUGGCCCGUAACUGACGCUGAGGCACGAAAGCGUGGGGAGCAAACAGG